This 299-nucleotide non-coding RNA is filed under the name Phascolarctos cinereus (koala). The record is from RNAcentral. Lineage: Eukaryota; Metazoa; Chordata; Mammalia; Diprotodontia; Phascolarctidae.
GCUCAGCGUGGUGACAUACACCUGUAAUCCUCGCUCUUGGGGAAACUAAGGCUCAUAAAGCUCUUGAGCUUGGGAGUUCUAAGGGGCAGGGGACUAUGUCAAGAGGGUGUUAAACUUAUUCAUGCUAAGUUCAGCAUUAAUAUGGAGAGUCCCUGGGUGUGAGGAAGGGGCACCAAAUUGCCUAAGAGGGGCAAACAGGCCCAGAUUGGAAAUAGAGCAGGUCAAAACAUCCCUGCUGAGCAGUAGUGGAAUCUGACCUGUGAGUAGCACCCUGAGCAAGAUAUGAAGAACUAGCCUUU